UACGAGUGCCCCAAGCGUUAUCCGGAAUCAUUGGGCGUAAAGGGUGUGUAGGCGGUUGUGUUAGUCUUUUGUUAAAGCUCUCGGCUUAACCGGGAAGAUGCAAAAGAAACGGCACAACUAGAGGAUGCGAGAGGUGAAUGGAACUCAUAGUGUAGGGGUGAAAUCCGUUGAUAUUAUGGGGAACACCAAAAGCGAAGGCAAUUCACUGGCGCAUUCCUGACGGCUGAGACACGAAAGCGUGGGUAGCGAAUGGG
Molecule: ribosomal RNA, 254 nt
Filed under: uncultured bacterium
Lineage: Bacteria
Description: partial 16S ribosomal RNA
Rfam family: Bacterial small subunit ribosomal RNA
Source: RNAcentral